CACAGUAAUCUGUUAAUUCUCUUAAUAUUUUCUAGUAAAUGAAGCAAUAGUAUAUAAUACCCAAGUGCUUUACUCUGCAAACUGCAAUUUAUGCUAUCUAAGUGGGGUAAGAAAAACAAUGAAAUGUAUUUGCUUAUUUGGUUUCCAGUGAGAUUACAGUACCUCUAGGAGAAAUGAAGUUGCAGACUGAUAUGCAAAGAGAAGAAAGGUGGUAGUGAUGCACAGGUACAUUCUUUUAUUGUCAGUGAAAGUGCUCCUAUACUUUUCCUUCUAGAGCAGAUUUUCAAGUGCUUUCUUUCACAGCCGAUAAUGUUGUUAUUUGAACUACUUUUUAUUACAUGAGAUACAGGCCAGAAGAUUGCAUGCUGAUGACUCCUGUUCACCCUUUGUCACCCCUACGCUGCCAUUUCUUCUGUCCUUCCUUUCCCAGUACCAAGAAGAGGCACUGAAACCACCUGAGAAAGAAAGCAGUGGAAGUUGUGAUCAUGGUGAGAGAGUGAGAAGCUGCCACUCAUCCUUGGUUAUGUCUCAGACGCUUCAGCACCAUCCUCAAAACAUGGUUUUUUUCCAUUGGAAGAAGCAUCAUCUUUAAAGUUCUUCUGUCUUCCACAACCCUUGUUUUGCCCCACUUUUAUUAAAUAAAACUAAAUUUAUAUUUUUGAGAUGAAGGUUUUGUUUUCAUUAAAUCCCCUUUUGAACUUUUUCAUUCUCAAGCUUUCUUUGCUACUAGAAAAAAAAAAAAAAAAACAGAAAUAAGACUUUAAACACACUGUAUUUUAAUUGGCAUCGAGUUCUCAGCACUGAGGAAUUCUUAUGAGUUGAUUACAUAGCAAAUGAGGGAGUUGGGUCCAUUCCCUGUCCAUCAUAGGAAACUGCACAAGGGUGUCUUGUCCAGAAGGGUUGCUGGGAAGGUGCCAGCAGCACUAUACUUGAAAGGAAUGAUGGUGAUAUCACCCUAUAAGCACAUUGUCCAGCUUUUUAGGUCACUUUGAUAAA
This is a non-coding RNA of Lonchura striata (white-rumped munia), 996 nucleotides long. NCBI's taxonomy places the organism in Eukaryota, Metazoa, Chordata, Aves, Passeriformes, Estrildidae. The record is from RefSeq and is a predicted model, not a curated record.